AUUAUAUAUCCCGUCUAGCCUGGGAACGCCUCGGAAUCCCCAAGAGGAGCUGGAAAACGUUGCUGGGGAGAGGGACGUCUGGAUUGAUUUACUGCGUUCUCUGCCACCGCGACCCGACCUCAAAUCAGAGGAAGAAAAUGGAGGGAUGGACAGCGCACAUUUCCUGUCCUUUUUUUCGUAUGCCAAAAGACUGUGACGGCCGUGUACUGCCACGAGGAACAACGCCUUUCUGCAUGAUGUUCUGCAUUUGAUGUGAGAGCAUGAUGACUGGAUAUCCGCCUGCAUGCAUCGUCGUUGAACGUUUCCUGUCUGUGAAUCAACUCCCCAUGAAAUAAAAGCUGCUCGCUCUCAUGCU
Molecule: non-coding RNA, 355 nt
Organism: Labrus bergylta (ballan wrasse)
Lineage: Eukaryota; Metazoa; Chordata; Actinopteri; Labriformes; Labridae
Source: RefSeq, a predicted model, not a curated record